UACGGGGGGGGGCAAGCGUUGUUCGGAAUUACUGGGCGUAAAGGCUCGUAGGCGGCCAACUAAGUCAGACGUGAAAUCCCUCGGCUUAACCGGGGAACUGCGUCUGAUACUGGAUGGCUUGAGUUUGGGAGAGGGAUGCGGAAUUCCAGGUGUAGCGGUGAAAUGCGUAGAUAUCUGGAGGAACACCGGUGGCGAAGGCGGCAUCCUGGACCAACACUGACGCUGAGUGAGCGAAAGCCAGGGGAGCAAACGGG
This 254-nucleotide ribosomal RNA is filed under the name uncultured bacterium. RNAcentral describes it as "partial 16S ribosomal RNA". It matches the Rfam family "Bacterial small subunit ribosomal RNA", at positions 524 to 776 of the family's 1533-position model. The record is from RNAcentral.